GCCCCUGUGGCCUAAUGGAUAAGGCAUCGGUUACCUAAACCGGGGGUUGUGGGUUCGAGUCCCACCAGGGGUA
Molecule: non-coding RNA, 73 nt
Organism: Cephus cinctus (wheat stem sawfly)
Lineage: Eukaryota; Metazoa; Arthropoda; Insecta; Hymenoptera; Cephidae
Source: the annotation of a RefSeq genome assembly